ACGUUAGCGUCGGACGGGUGAGUAACACGUGGGUAACCUACCUAUAAGACUGGGAUAACUUCGGGAAACCGGAGCUAAUACCGGAUAAUAUUUCGAACCGCAUGGUUCGAUAGUGAAAGAUGGUUUUGCUAUCACUUAUAGAUGGACCCGCGCCGUAUUAGCUAGUUGGUAAGGUAACGGCUUACCAAGGCGACGAUACGUAGCCGACCUGAGAGGGUGAUCGGCCACACUGGAACUGAGACACGGUCCAGACUCCUACGGGAGGCAGCAGCC
This 273-nucleotide ribosomal RNA is filed under the name uncultured Staphylococcus sp. Its description in RNAcentral is "partial 16S ribosomal RNA". It matches the Rfam family "Bacterial small subunit ribosomal RNA", at positions 89 to 355 of the family's 1533-position model. The record is from RNAcentral. Lineage: Bacteria; Bacillati; Bacillota; Bacilli; Caryophanales; Staphylococcaceae.